This 425-nucleotide ribosomal RNA is filed under the name uncultured bacterium. RNAcentral describes it as "bacterial SSU rRNA". It matches the Rfam family "Bacterial small subunit ribosomal RNA", at positions 354 to 796 of the family's 1533-position model. The record is from RNAcentral.
GUUAGGAAUAUUGGACAAUGGGCGCAAGCCUGAUCCAGCCAUGCCGCGUGAGUGAUGAAGGCCUUCGGGUUGUAAAGCUCUUUAGUCCACGAAUAUAAUGACUGUAGUGGAAGAAUAAGCCCCGGCUAACUUCGUGCCAGCAGCCGCGGUAAUACGAAGGGGGCGAGCGUUAUUCGGAAUCACUGGGCGUAAAGCGUGCGUAGGCUGUUUUGUAAGUUGGGAGUGAAAGCCCAGGGCUCAACCCUGGAAUUGCUCUCAAAACUACAAGACUUGAAUCCCGGAGAGGAUAGCGGAAUUGUCAGUGUAGCAGUGAAAUGCGUAGAUAUUGACAGGAACACCAGUGGCGUAAGCGGCUAUCUGGACGGGUAUUGACGCUGAGGCACGAAAGCGUGGGGAUCAAACAGGAUUAGAAACCCUAGUAGUCC